Molecule: ribosomal RNA, 468 nt
Filed under: uncultured bacterium
Lineage: Bacteria
Description: partial 16S ribosomal RNA
Rfam family: Bacterial small subunit ribosomal RNA
Source: RNAcentral
GACGAACGCUGGCGGCGUGCUUAACACAUGCAAGUCGAACGGAAAGGCCCUGCUUUUGUGGGGUGCUCGAGUGGCGAACGGGUGCGUAACACGUGAGUAACCUGCCCUUGACUUUGGGAUAACUUCAGGAAACUGGGGCUAAUACCGUAUAGGAGCUCCUGCUGCAUGGAGGGGGUUGGAAAGUUUCGGCGGUUGGGGAUGGACUCGCGGCUGUUCAGCUUGUUGGUGGGGUAGUGGCUUACCAAGGCUUUGACGGGUAGCCGGCCUGAGAGGGUGACCGGCCACAUUGGGACUGAGAUACGGCCCAGACUCCUACGGGAGGCAGCAGUGGGGAAUAUUGCACAAUGGGCGGAAGCCUGAUGCAGCAACGCCGCGUGCGGGAUGACGGCCUUCGGGUUGUAAACCGCUUUCGCCUGUGACGAAGCGUGAGUGACGGUAAUGGGUAAAGAAGCACCGGCUAACUACGUG